UCCCAGUUCGGAUUGUAGUCUGCAACCCGACUACAUGAAGCUGGAAUCGCUAGUAAUCGCGAAUCAGAAUGUCGCGGUGAAUACGUUCCCGGGUCUUGUACACACCGCCCGUCACACCAUGGGAGCCGGAAACGCCCGAAGCCAGCGGCCCAACCGCAAGGGGGGAGCUGUCGAAGGCGGGUCCGGUGACCGGGGGUGAAGUCGUAACAAGGUAGC
This 216-nucleotide ribosomal RNA is filed under the name uncultured bacterium. RNAcentral's name for it is "partial 16S ribosomal RNA". It matches the Rfam family "Bacterial small subunit ribosomal RNA", at positions 1286 to 1500 of the family's 1533-position model. The record is from RNAcentral.